UACGUAGGGGGCAAGCGUUGUCCGGAAUCAUUGGGCGUAAAGAGCGCGUAGGCGGCCCUGUAAGUCCGCUGUGAAAGUCAAGGGCUCAACCCUUGGAUGCCGGUGGAUACUGCAGGGCUAGAGUCCGGAAGAGGCGAGUGGAAUUCCUGGUGUAGCGGUGAAAUGCGCAGAUAUCAGGAAGAACACCUAUGGCGAAGGCAGCACUCUGGGACGGUACUGACGCUGAGACGCGAAAGCGUGGGGAGCGAACAGG
Molecule: ribosomal RNA, 253 nt
Filed under: uncultured bacterium
Lineage: Bacteria
Description: partial 16S ribosomal RNA
Rfam family: Bacterial small subunit ribosomal RNA
Source: RNAcentral